ACCUGGUUGAUUCUGCCAGUAGUCAUAUGCUUGUCUCAAAGAUUAAGCCAUGCAUGUCUAAGUAUAAGCAAUCUAUACGGUGAAACUGCGAAUGGCUCAUUAAAUCAGUUAUCGUUUAUUUGAUAGUACCUUUCUACUUGGAUACCUGUGGUAAUUCUAGAGCUAAUACAUGCUAAAAACCUCGACUUCGGAAGGGGUUGUUUAUUAGAUAAAAACCAAUGCCCUCCGGGGCUCCUUGGUGAUUCAUAAUAACUCAACGAAUCGCAUGGCCUUGCGCCGGCGAUGGUUCAUUCAAAUUUCUGCCCUAUCAACUUUCGAUGGUAGGAUAGUCUACCAUGGUUUCUACGGGUUCUAUUCCGGAGAGGGAGCCUGAGAAACCACAUCCAAGGAAGGCAGCAGGCGCGCAAAUUACCCAAUCCCGACACGGGGAGGUAUGACAAUAAAUACUGAUACAGGGCUCUUUUGGGUCUUGUAAUUGAAUGAGUACAAUUUAAAUCCCUUAACGAGAACAAUUGGAGGGCAAGUCUGGUGCCAGCAGCCGCGGUAAUUCCAGCUCCAAUAGCGUAUAUUAAAGUUGUUGCAGUUAAAAAGCUCGUAGUUGAAACUUGGCCCUGGCUGACCGGUCCGCCUCACCGCGUGUACUGGUUCGGCCGGGGCUUUCCUUCUGGGGAGCCGCAUGGCCUUCAUUGGUCGUGCUGGGGAACCAGGACUUUUACUUUGAAAAAAUUAGAGUGUUCAAAGCAGGCCUAUGCUCGAAUACAUUAGCAUGGAAUAAUAGAAUAGGACGUGUGGUUCUAUUUUGUUGGUUUCUAGGACCGCCGUAAUGAUUAAUAGGGAUAGUCGGGGGCAUCAGUAUUCAAUUGUCAGAGGUGAAAUUCUUGGAUUUAUUGAAGACUAACUACUGCGAAAGCAUUUGCCAAGGAUGUUUUCAUUAAUCAGUGAACGAAAGUUAGGGGAUCGAAGACGAU
RNAcentral lists this ribosomal RNA (968 nucleotides) under Platismatia glauca. RNAcentral describes it as "SSU rRNA". It matches the Rfam family "Eukaryotic small subunit ribosomal RNA", at positions 1 to 1008 of the family's 1831-position model. The record is from RNAcentral. Lineage: Eukaryota; Fungi; Ascomycota; Lecanoromycetes; Lecanorales; Parmeliaceae.